Non-coding RNA from Otolemur garnettii (small-eared galago), 102 nucleotides. Lineage: Eukaryota; Metazoa; Chordata; Mammalia; Primates; Galagidae. The record is from Rfam.
UGGUGGUCCGAGUGCCAUGGUGUUUACAACUAAUUGAUCACAACCAGUUAUAGAUUCCUUUGCGCCUUCUGCACUCCCACUGCUUCACUUGACUAGAAAAAA